This 228-nucleotide unclassified non-coding RNA is filed under the name Hevea brasiliensis (rubber tree). The record is from RNAcentral. Lineage: Eukaryota; Viridiplantae; Streptophyta; Magnoliopsida; Malpighiales; Euphorbiaceae.
GAUCAGGUCCAAUUUCUGGAAUAGACAAUAAAACCAAUCAGAAGAAUUGGCUUGUCGGUGGCUACUCUUCACUAUUUAAUGGGAAGAAAUCUCAUCAGAAGCCAAACAGACUGACUCAAGUUGGACCUUUUAAAGGAUGCAUGAUAUCUGGCCCUAGUUCUAUGGUUGUCAAUUGCCACAUUAGUUCAAAUGGGUAUCAUUCUGAGAUUGUUGAUCCUUGCAACAGAG